Molecule: ribosomal RNA, 378 nt
Filed under: uncultured bacterium
Lineage: Bacteria
Description: bacterial SSU rRNA
Rfam family: Bacterial small subunit ribosomal RNA
Source: RNAcentral
AGUGAGCGCUGGCGGCAGGCCUAACACAUGCAAGUCGAGCGGCAGCGGGUUCCCGCGAGGGGAUGCCGGCGAGCGGCGGACGGGUGAGGAACACAUCGGAAUCUGCCUGGUUGUGGGGGAUAACGUAGGGAAACUUACGCUAAUACCGCAUGAGACCCUGAGUCGACGGACUGGGGGUGAAAGUGAGGGACCUUCGGGCCUCACGCGACCAGAUGAGCCGAUGUCGGAUAGCUAGUUGGCGGGGUAACGGCCCGCCAAGGCGACGAUCCGUAGCUGGUCUGAGAGGAUGAUCAGCCACACUGGGACUGAGACACGGCCAGACUCCUACGGGAGGCAGCAGUGGGAAUCUUGGACAAUGGGCGCAAGCCUGAUCCAGCC